CCUACGGGAUGCAGCAGUGGGGAAUAUUGCACAAUGGGCGCAAGCCUGAUGCAGCCAUGCCGCGUGUGUGAAGAAGGCCUUCGGGUUGUAAAGCACUUUCAGCGGGGAGGAAGGCGGUGAGAUUAAUACUCUCACCGAUUGACGUUACCCGCAGAAGAAGCACCGGCUAACUCCGUGCCAGCAGCCGCGGUAAUACGGAGGGUGCAAGCGUUAAUCGGAAUGACUGGGCGUAAAGCGCACGCAGGCGGUUUGUUAAGUCAGAUGUGAAAUCCCCGAGCUUAACUUGGGAACUGCAUUUGAAACUGGCAAGCUAGAGUCUUGUAGAGGGGGGUAGAAUUCCAGGUGUAGCGGUGAAAUGCGUAGAGAUCUGGAGGAAUACCGGUGGCGAAGGCGGCCCCCUGGACAAAGACUGACGCUCAGGUGCGAAAGCGUGGGGAGCAAACAGGAUUAGAUACCCUCGUAGUC
RNAcentral lists this ribosomal RNA (465 nucleotides) under uncultured bacterium. RNAcentral describes it as "bacterial SSU rRNA". It matches the Rfam family "Bacterial small subunit ribosomal RNA", at positions 338 to 795 of the family's 1533-position model. The record is from RNAcentral.